AGCAGCCGCGGUAAUUCCAGCUCCAAUAGCGUAUAUUAAAGUUGCUGCAGUUAAAAAGCUCGUAGUUGAAUUUCGGGACCAUCAUGUCGGUCGUGCCUCGGUACGUACUGGCAUCGUCGGUUUCUCCCUUCUGACGAACCAUGAUGUCAUUUAUUUGGUGUCGUGGGGAAUCAGGACUGUUACUUUGAAAAAUUAGAGUGUUUAAAGCAGGCUCACGCUUGAAUACAUUAGCAUGGAAUAAUGAAAUAGGACGUUUGAUUCUAUUUUGUUGGUUUCUAGGAUCGACGUAAUGAUUAAUAGGGAUAGUUGGGGGCAUUAGUAUUCAAUUGUCAGAGGUGAAAUUCUUGGAUUUAUUGAAGACUAACUACUGCGAAAGCAUUUGCCAAGGAUGUUCUCAUUAAUCAAGAACGAAAGUUAGGGGAUCGAAGACGAUCAGAUACCGUCGUAGUCUUAACCAUAAACUAUGCCGACUAGGGAUCGGAUGAUGUUAAUUUUUAAUGACUCAUUC
This 508-nucleotide ribosomal RNA is filed under the name uncultured Glomus. RNAcentral's name for it is "SSU rRNA". It matches the Rfam family "Eukaryotic small subunit ribosomal RNA", at positions 569 to 1081 of the family's 1831-position model. The record is from RNAcentral. Lineage: Eukaryota; Fungi; Glomeromycota; Glomeromycetes; Glomerales; Glomeraceae.